RNAcentral lists this ribosomal RNA (255 nucleotides) under uncultured bacterium. Its description in RNAcentral is "partial 16S ribosomal RNA". It matches the Rfam family "Bacterial small subunit ribosomal RNA", at positions 80 to 334 of the family's 1533-position model. The record is from RNAcentral.
AAACCAAAAGACUGGCGACCGGCGCACGGGUGAGUAACACGUAUCAACCUGCCUCAUACUCGGGGAUAGCCUUUCGAAAGAAAGAUUAAUAUCCGAUAGCAUAUAUUUCCCGCAUGGGUUUUAUAUUAAAGAAAUUCGGUAUGAGAUGGGGAUGCGUUCCAUUAGUUUGUUGGGGGGGUAACGGCCCACCAAGACUACGAUGGAUAGGGGUUCUGAGAGGAAGGUCCCCCACAUUGGAACUGAGACACGGUCCAA